AUUGAACGCUGGCGGCAGGCCUAACACAUGCAAGUCGAACGAGUGGCGGACGGGUGAGUAAUGUCUGGGAAACUGCCCGAUGGAGGGGGAUAACUACUGGAAACGGUAGCUAAUACCGCAUACCAUCGGAUGUGCCCAGAUGGGGUUAGCUAGUAGUUGGGGUAACGGCUCACCUAGGCGACGACCCCUAGCCGGUCUGAGAGGAUGACCGGCCACACUGGAACUGAGACCCGGGCCAGCCUCCAACGGAAGGCAGCAGUGGGGAGUAUUGCCCAAUGGGGGCAAGCCUAGUGCGAACAUACCGGGUGUAUAAGGAGGGCCUUCGGGUUGUAAAGUACGUUCAGCGAGGAGGCGUUACUCACAGAAGAAGCAACGGCUAACUCCGUGCCAGCAGCCGCGGUAAUUC
This 406-nucleotide ribosomal RNA is filed under the name uncultured bacterium. RNAcentral describes it as "partial 16S ribosomal RNA". It matches the Rfam family "Bacterial small subunit ribosomal RNA", at positions 30 to 526 of the family's 1533-position model. The record is from RNAcentral.